UCUUGACGUGCCUUGGACUAAAUGGAGUUCUUAAUAUGACACUGCAGUUUUUAGGGCUAUUCAAAGAUAAGAGAUAUAUGGUCAAAUACGGUGUGAAAUAUGGGCAACUGUAAAGUAGUUGAAUACUGAAUAAGCACUUAAGUCAAAUGAAAUUUUUUAAACUUAGAAUAGUUCAAACAAAAGCCUAGAGGUACUAGGAGACCAGUUAGUAGUUGAUAGCUAUUUGAGUGGGGUGUGGGAGAAUGCUGCUAGAUGAAAGUCUACUUGAGGUUGAAUCUUGUCAACAUUUUAGAAAAUAAUUUAGGUUAAGUUCUUUAGUUAAAAAGCUUAAAUAAAGAUAUGGGUAGAUGGCUCAUUCUGGGAGUUGAAACUGCUUCCACCAAGAAUAAAAUGUUCCUCCAUGAGAAAUAUGAGCUCCCUGUGUCUACUGCCCUAAAUAAAGAAAGCUCCAUCAUCUUUCUGAGGUCAGUGCUAAUGUCCCCAGACUUCCAAGAGUUUAACAUCUCCAAGUUCUUCACCAGUCAAAUGAGCAGAAUUUAACAAGAAAGAACUUGCCUUUACCGUUCUAAAGAAAAGCUAAAACUGCAACCUGCCUAAGCCUAAUUUCCCAAGUAAAACAUGCCAUUAAGCAAGAUAGGAACAGGGAUACAGAAAGGGGAUGGAAGCUGAGCAGCUGAGAUCAGGAUGGGAUCAGGAGAUGCACAAAAUAUUUUUAAAAGCAGAAAUUCAGUACUCUAGCCACAUGUAACAGGGAAACAUCUUGUUUGAACUACUCUGUCCUGGUAUUUCAAUAGGAGGGGCCCUGCUAAUCCUUGGAUAGAAUUAUUUUAGAACUGAAAGAGAAUUUAGAGAUUAUCUAGUCCAGUUCCCUCACUUGAGGACACUUAGGCCCUGAGAGAUUAAAAGCUUUCUGGGAUCAUGCAGUAAAUUAGUUACAGAAAUGGAAUUAUAACCCCAAAACCUCCUGAUGCUCACUGAGAUGUUCUUUCCACUAUAACACCAAUCUUCUCAUGGCUCUUUUCAUGGAAAUUCUAAGAGAGGCAGUAUGAUAUAGUGGAAAGAUAACGUUAUUAACUAUAUUUCUGAGUCUUAGUCUUCUCCCUCCUAGUUUGAAUAACUAAAUCCUAGAAGUCAAGACUUCAUUUAGUUCAACUUGCCACCCAAAGAAAGAAACCCCUACAUCAUAUUCAUGAGCAAUGAGGUAGACGGCCAGGCUCCUAUGAAUCCCUCCUGGGGAGGUUCUAACUACCUAGGAGGAUACUGAUACUUAACUGUACGAUGACCUGAAAUCUUCUGAAGCUUCUGUGAAACUUCAAUUUUGACCUCCAGGAUGGGGCUUCUAUCUCUUCUACAUGUGAGCAUGGCUCAUUUAGUUCAACAAACAUUCACUAAAAGCCCAUACUUGCUAGAUUUGGGAGCUUUAACCUGGAAUUAUAAGGCUGGCAUUGAGGAACACAUAAUCUAGUCAGAGAGAUGAUCCUUAAUUACUAUUAAAUAAGAGAAUGCAUGUCUGCAAGUGCUAAACACAUGUAAAUACUCAAUAAAUAUAAGGUACUAUUCUUAAUAACUAUUAUAUAGCUCUUUAAUCAUCUUGUAUUCAGAUUAUAUUUUCACUCCCUUUAAGCACAUAGCAUAAAAUAUGGCUUAUAGAUCAGGGGUCAGCAAACUUUCUAUAAUGGGGCCAGACUAUAAGUAUUUCAAGUUUUGCAAGCCAUAUAUCUCUGUCCAACUACUCAACUCAAUAUUUCUAACAUGAAAGCAACCACAGAAGAUGUGAAUUAAUGGGUGUUGCUGUGUUUCAAUAAAACUUGACUUAUAACAAUAGAGGGCUGGCCAGGUUAGACCACAGGCCAUAGUCUGCCAUCCUCUGCAAUAGAUGCUUUACCAUCCUCACCACCCUCAUUUAGCUUGUCAAUGUCCCUUUUAAAAUGUGUCAUUGAAAGCUAACCAGUCUAUUCUAAAUAUGGAAGGACCAGUAAAAAAUACAGUAGUUUUGAGAGUUCCUGCUGUGGGGCAGCAGAUUAACCAUCUGGCAUUGCUUCUGCAACAGCACAGGUUUGAUCCCCAGCCCAGCACAGUGACUUAAGGAUCCAGCGUUGUCAUAGCUGAGGUGUAGCUCACUGGCCCAAGAACUUCCAUAUGGUUCUGUGGGUGUGGCCAAAAAAAAAAUACAAUAGGGUUAUUAAAUGCCAUGAAUGGGAUACUAUAAAUCAGAGUUCUCCCUAUGGCACCACGGUAUCAGUGGCAUCUUGGGAGUGCUGGGAUGCAGAUUCAAUCCCCAGCCUGGCACUGUGGGUUAAGGAUCUGGUGUUGCCGUAGCUGCGGCUUAGGUCAAAUCUGAAACUCAGAUCUGAUCCCUGGCCUGAGAACUCUAUGUGCCAUGGGGCAGCCCAAAAAAAAAAAAAAAGGAUACUUGGGAGUUCCUGUUGGGGCGCAGUGGAAACGAAUUCAACUAGGAAACAUGAGGUUGUGGGUUCCAUCUCUGGCCUCACUCAAUGGGUUAAGGAUCUGGCGUUGCCAUUAGCUGUAGUGUGGGUUGCAGACUCAGCUCGGAUCUGGUUUCAAGAUGGCCACUUUUUUAAAUAAGAAAAGAACUUAGGUUAAUUUAUUUUUGGUUGACAAUGCACUUUCAGAAAAAUUCUAAUUUUACACACUGCAUCCCAUUAUUGGCUUAUAUUGGUCUUGAGCUCAAUUAGAAAUCCCAGAAUAAGGAUGAGGUGCUUUACCUAGUCAUAUGUAAAUUAUAUUGUAUUAAGUCACAUCUACAUU
RNAcentral lists this long non-coding RNA (2769 nucleotides) under Sus scrofa (pig). RNAcentral describes it as "lncRNA (ENSSSCG00040026264.1)". The record is from RNAcentral. Lineage: Eukaryota; Metazoa; Chordata; Mammalia; Artiodactyla; Suidae.